CCUACGGGCGGCUGCAGUGAGGAAUAUUGGUCAAUGGGCGCGAGCCUGAACCAGCCAAGUCGCGUGAAGGAUGACGGUCCUAUGGAUUGUAAACUUCUUUUGUGCAGGAAUAAAGUGAGGAACGUGUUCCUUUUUGUAUGUACUGUACGAAUAAGCAUCGGCUAACUCCGUGCCAGCAGCCGCGGUAAUACGGAGGAUGCGAGCUUUAUCCGGUUUUAUGGGGGUGUAAGGGGGAUGAGGAGGGAGUGGUGAAAGUUUGCAGCUUAACUGUAAAAUUGCCAUUGAAACUGUUAGUCUUGAGUGCAAAUGAGGUAGGCGGAAUGUGUUGUGUAGCGGUGAAAUGCUUAGAUAUAACACAGAACUCCGAUUGCGAAGGCAGCUUACUGGGAUGCAACUGACGCUGAUGCACGAAAGCGUGGGUAUCAAACAGGAUUAGAUACCCUUGUAGUC
This 450-nucleotide ribosomal RNA is filed under the name uncultured bacterium. Its description in RNAcentral is "partial 16S ribosomal RNA". It matches the Rfam family "Bacterial small subunit ribosomal RNA", at positions 338 to 795 of the family's 1533-position model. The record is from RNAcentral.